Molecule: ribosomal RNA, 418 nt
Filed under: Anax nigrofasciatus
Lineage: Eukaryota; Metazoa; Arthropoda; Insecta; Odonata; Aeshnidae
Description: partial 16S ribosomal RNA
Rfam family: Archaeal large subunit ribosomal RNA (bases 1-210)
Source: RNAcentral
CGCCUGUUUAACAAAAACAUGUCUUCUUGCUAUAUUUAGGAAGUCUGGCCUGCCCAGUGAAAAUAAUUUAACGGCCGCGGUAUACUGACCGUGCAAAGGUAGCAUAAUCAUUAGUCUUUUAAUAGAGGGCUGGUAUGAAGGGUUUAACGAGGUGUUGACUGUCUCAUUUAAUUUGAAUUUAGAAUUUAAUUUUUUAGUUAAAAAGCUAAAAUAUUAUUGGAAGACGAGAAGACCCUAUAGAGCUUUAUAUUUUUAUUAUUAAUUUAUUUUAGUUUAUUAUUAUUUAUUAUUAAUAGAAAAUAUUUUGUUGGGGUGACAAAAAUAUAUAAAUAACUUUUUCAUUUAUUUUACAUUGAUAUAUGAAUAUUAGAUCCAAUCUUAUUGAUUGUUAGAUUAAGUUACCUUAGGGAUAACAGCG